Molecule: ribosomal RNA, 620 nt
Filed under: uncultured Bacteroidales bacterium
Lineage: Bacteria; Pseudomonadati; Bacteroidota; Bacteroidia; Bacteroidales
Description: bacterial SSU rRNA
Rfam family: Bacterial small subunit ribosomal RNA
Source: RNAcentral
GCACGGGUGAGUAACGCGUAUGCAACCUGCCCGAUACCGGGGUAUAGCCCAUGGAAACGUGGAUUAACACCCCAUAGUACUUUUAUCCUGCAUGGGAUGUGAGUUAAAUGUUUAAGGUAUCGGAUGGGCAUGCGUCCUAUUAGUUAGUUGGCGGGGUAACAGCCCACCAAGACGAUGAUAGGUAGGGGUUCUGAGAGGAAGGUCCCCCACAUUGGAACUGAGACACGGUCCAAACUCCUACGGGAGGCAGCAGUGAGGAAUAUUGGUCAAUGGACGAGAGUCUGAACCAGCCAAGUCGCGUGAGGGAAGACUGCCCUAUGGGUUGUAAACCUCUUUUAUAAGGGAAGAAUAAGUUCUACGUGUAGAAUGAUGCCUGUACCUUAUGAAUAAGCAUCGGCUAACUCCGUGCCAGCAGCCGCGGUAAUACGGAGGAUGCGAGCGUUAUCCGGAUUUAUUGGGUUUAAAGGGUGCGUAGGCGGUUUAUUAAGUUAGUGGUUAAAUAUUUGAGCUAAACUCAAUUGUGCCAUUAAUACUGGUAAACUGGAGUACAGACGAGGUAGGCGGAAUAAGUUAAGUAGCGGUGAAAUGCAUAGAUAUAACUUAGAACUCCGAUAGCGAAG